Molecule: long non-coding RNA, 4051 nt
Filed under: Canis lupus familiaris (dog)
Lineage: Eukaryota; Metazoa; Chordata; Mammalia; Carnivora; Canidae
Description: lncRNA (ENSCAFG00805006049.1, ENSCAFG00845021288.1)
Source: RNAcentral
GGGUGCUGGAAGGAAUGGGUGCUCCCCUCAAAGAGACCCCAGACCCGUUGCCAAGGCAGAAGUUCGGUAUGACAGCUGUUAGUUUCUGAUUACCUACUACGUGCCAAGCACUGUGUUUUCUCACUUCACUUAAUCCUCCCAAAUUAAGCCAGGUUGGGGAUAUUAAUAGCUCACUUUACAGGUGUGGAAAUUGAAGCUCAAAGGCCCUAUGAAUUAGAAAUUCAGGCCUCACCUUGCCCACACCCCAAACACCUGUGCUCCUUCAACUUUGUGUUGUGAAAGUGUGGGGCCCUGUCACAAUUUCCUGGCCCCGGCCCCCAAACCUAACCAAUGUGGCAGAAUGGAAUCUGUAGAAUUAGGUAGGACAAGGCCCGACCCUUAGGACGAGGGGUGGGCAGGAUUUUUCUGCAGAAGGGCCAGAGAACAAAAAUAUUUCUGUCUCCAUUACUCAGCUCUGCCACUGGAGUGAGAGAGUACCCAUAGAUAUGGAAACGAUUGGGUGGGGCAUAAAUAGAUUUUAUUUACAGACACGUAAAGUUGACCCUUGUGUAAUUUUAAUGUGCUGAAGAAUAUAGUCCUUUUGAUUUUUUAAAACAUCAUCUAAAGCAUGAAAACCAAUCUCAGUUCCUGGCUGUACGAAAACAGGCAGUGGGGAUUUGGGCUGUGGAUCAUACAGGGUUUCCAGAGCCCCCUGCUCUGAGCCACCAGGUCGCCCCUGCCAGAGGGUCAUUGACGCUCAGGACCACCACACCCCUUUCCAGCAGGGCAAUGCGGUUUCCAGAACGGUUUCUUCUGUUUCAGAAGAUCAUGGACACAGCAAGGUCCCUAUCCUCGUUACUUGGAAUCAUGAGAGGCCAUUUGGGAACCUCAAGAAAAGAGGGAGGGCCUGACCCCUGCCUGAACGUGGUCUUGUGCUUCCCUAAGUUAACAUCGGGUGUGCGCGUCUGCAACGGGAGCAUUGCACGAUUUGUGAGAGACUGUGGAUGAGAGAAUGGCCAUACAGGUACCUGUUUCAAAACUGGAAAUAGUCCACUGGAUGCCUUCGCUGCCAGGCACCCUGAGGGAGAGGAAGAGAAUCAACUCAGAGACCAUGGCUGCGGCACAUAGCCAGAGUACGGGGCGCGGGGGUGAGGGGGAGGUGGGGAGCCAGUCCUGGGUGGAGACCCAGCCCUUGUGAGGCUGUCUCCUCCUCUGGCAACCCCUCUGAACAGUGAGGGUGCAGCCUUGCAUACAAGGGUCCUUCCGGGGAGCAUCCCGCUUGAGGUCCUUGGCAGCACUCUGCAGCUCCCCAACGUGUGGGUUUUGCAAAGGGCCUUGCAGUUUCGGUCUGCUCUUUGGGGGUCGUGGUUGUCCUCUAGAUGGGCCACGGCCCCUGCCAUGGUGGAAACAGCCUCGGGGGCCCCAUGGUUCUGAGAGAGACCUUCUGCCUGGAGAGGCUAUUUCUUGAGCUGUCUCUGGCGCCAUGGAGGCCUUGGUGGUUGACGCUGCCCCGGUGUUGACAGAUUGCCCGAGUGGAUGAACUCAGCUCAUUGCAGGCUGUGCUCUGGAGACAGAACCAUUUAGGAGGUUGCUUGCCUUCCAGCUGUUUUUAGGGGUCCUGGUGGAUUUGUGGGAUCAUCACUCUAUAAGCUGCUGUCAUGGAAAUGGCAUUUCGGCCAUAGAUUCGGUAUGUGGAGGUGAUGGCCUUUAACCCUCUAAGGGUCAGCGAGAAUCAGGGCUGCGAAGAGGAGGUGAGCAUGUCUUGCCUCUCCUGCUGCGGUUUUUGCCAUGUCACCUUUUCAGAUGGUGCAAGAUGACCUGCAUUGGUGUCAGGCUUCAGACAGACAAAAUGGAACCAAACGGGAUCAUUUUCAGGGGAGUGUGAACCCGAAGGGAGGUUUCCACACUGGGGAGGUGGCCAGUGUAAUCGAAGGUGGCCUUCGCUGGCCAUGCCAGGGGCCAGGCGGAGAAUCAGUUGAGUUCAGAAACCGCUUAAUAACUUGGAGCUCCAGCACACUCCCACGGACAGUAUCUUGUGGCUUUCUUAGAGUAUAGAGCACUGCCCGGAGGAGUGGCUCAGCCCCAGCUUGGGGCGGAGUCUGGCUCUGCUGAUGCCAACUGACCUUGUCUCAGUUUACCGAGCUGUAGGGGGGCGGCUGUCUAUAGCACCCGCCUCACAGAGGUGCUCUGGUCAACAGGCUGGUGCAUGAUCUUGCACAUGCAUGACCCCAGGCACAUGCCGGCUGCUCCCUCAGUUGUCGGUGUUGUGAGCUGUCAUCAUCCUUUGAAAUAGAUCUCUGAGCAUGGGGCUCAGCCCUCUGCAAACAGCAGCUCAUUUAAUCCUUAGAGCCACCCUCUAGAGUAGGUAAUACAAUUUUUCUUUUACAGAGGCAGAAACUAGGCUAAGAUGGUUUGUUUGUGGGUGGAGGGAUGGAAGGGGUGUUUCUCCUUCAACAAUAAUAUCUGCUAAUGUAGAAGAUGAAUCAAAUCAGCCCAGAUCCCACCAUCCACGAGGUGCACACUGGUUGGUGACUAGUCAGUGAACAUUUUCCUUAUCCAAGGAAGUUGAAGGGUGUGGUGUGGGGCUCUGGGCUGCCAGGCUCUCAGCUCCAGACCUCCCUCCUCUGUCCGGGCAGCUUCACUUCUGGGGUGUGGGCCACCCUCCCUGGGGCACCGGGCAUCCCAGGGUUCCGCUGCGCUGUCUUGCCAUGAGUCCAUGAGUCUGGUGGGCAGGGUACCAAGGUGCUGGCUCUUCUGGAAGUCUUUUAGAGAAGCGCCAAAGAGGAAAGAAGGAAUAGAACACUGCGAGUCCAUUAAAAUAAAAUGUUUCCCAGAAUGAUACAAGACUCUCCAUCUUCAAGGCCAUCCAUGUAGCCACAGACUAAUUAAUGGUCACUGGAGAUGUUGCGCUAGAAGCCUUUCUUGUGAAAAUGUUUUAUAAUGUAUCUAUAAAUCCAGAGAUUGAAGAGCAACCAGCCAAUGUGGGCUCCCCCACACCACUAACUGUUUUUACUUUGUUAUAUCUUAAGCUUCUUUUCUCUCUGAAUCUGAGAUAUGAGUAAUUCAUAACACAAUUGGACUUUAUGGUUUGUUUAUGCUGAUUCCGAUCACAGAAUAAAUGACUACCUAGAGUUAAAAAAAAAAAACUAAUGAAAAAACAGGCAUCAAUCAAGAACAUUUAUGAAUAAAGACCUUAAACAUCCAUACUUAGAAAUAUAUAUGAUAUUUAGAAAUAGAUCUGAAAAGACUUAUGUAAUGUGUUUUAAUCAAAUCCUGAAGAGAAAUUGGCCAAUAAAUCAAAUCUCGAAAAGAAAUUGACCAAUAAAUCAAAUUUAGAAAGAAAGUGACAGAUAAAUCAAGUCUAAAAAAGAAAACAACCACUAUAUCAAAUCCAUGAUAUGUUUAUUAAAAGCAACGGAUCUCAGCGUUUUGUGACUCGGUGUCUUUCCUGAGCCCAUGUAUUAAGAAUGUAUUUAGGAAACAAGAUGCUUAUACUUUUUACACUAUUGUAAAUGUGUGAGUGUGCAUAUACCACACACAAAUACAAUUUGCAAACCAAAAUAGAGAGGGGGUCUGGACUGGGAUAGAGGAGGAAGGAGAGAAAGAAUCUAUUAUAGACAAAUGCCUACUACCAGCCUCGCUUCCAUGUGGUUUCCAGGAUUUAUGCUAUAUGGUACCUUAUCUUAUAAAGCAUCCACAUAACGCGGCCUUUAGCACAUCAGCAGCCAAGCUCCUUGGGAUCUAAAGCAGCUCUGAUGAAUCUUAAAUACUUCUUCACAGUGAAUUGAGUUAUAUCAAUUCCAUAAGGAGCUAUAUUUUGCAUGUGUGCAGCAGUAUAUAGGACAUGGUGUCUCAUUUGCUUUAAAAUUAAUUUAAUUUUAGGAAUUUUCCACAAAGGUAUUAAGGUAUUUCUAAAUAUAUUUUCAAGAUCAAAUUGUGCCGUGUGUGUGUGUGUGUGUGUGUGUGUGUGUGUGUAUGCUUCUGAGUCUCCAGGUGUCUAUCUUCCCUAUCUUGUUGCCUUCACCCAUAGUACUGUGUACCUUAUUUCAGAAAGGAAGUUUCCAAAGAAAAA